CUACGGGAGGCUGCAGUGGGGAAUAUUGCACAAUGGGCGAAAGCCUGAUGCAGCAACGCCGCGUGAGCGAUGAAGGCCUUCGGGUCGUAAAGCUCUGUCCUCAAGGAAGAAUUUUGACGGUACUUGAGGAGGAAGCCCCGGCUAACUACGUGCCAGCAGCCGCGGUAAUACGUAGGGGGCUAGCGUUAUCCGGAAUUACUGGGCGUAAAGGGUGCGUAGGUGGUCUGACAAGUCAGGGGUGAAAGGCUACGGCUCAACCGUAGUAAGCCCUUGAAACUGUCGGACUUGAGUGCAGGAGAGGAAAGUGGAAUUCCCAGUGUAGCGGUGACAUGCGUAGAUAUUGGGAGGAACAUCAGUGGCGAAGGCGACUUUCUGGACUGUAACUGACACUGAGGCACGAAAGCGUGGGGAGCAAACAGGAUUAGAUACCCGCGUAGUC
RNAcentral lists this ribosomal RNA (439 nucleotides) under uncultured bacterium. RNAcentral's name for it is "partial 16S ribosomal RNA". It matches the Rfam family "Bacterial small subunit ribosomal RNA", at positions 339 to 795 of the family's 1533-position model. The record is from RNAcentral.